This 253-nucleotide ribosomal RNA is filed under the name uncultured bacterium. RNAcentral's name for it is "partial 16S ribosomal RNA". It matches the Rfam family "Bacterial small subunit ribosomal RNA", at positions 524 to 776 of the family's 1533-position model. The record is from RNAcentral.
UACGAAGGGGGCUAGCGUUGCUCGGAAUCACUGGGCGUAAAGCGCUCGUAGGCGGACUCUUAAGUCGGGGGUGAAAUCCUGGAGCUCAACUCCAGAACUGCCUUCGAUACUGAGAGUCUCGAGUCCGGGAGAGGUGAGUGGAACUGCGAGUGUAGAGGUGAAAUUCGUAGAUAUUCGCAAGAACACCAGUGGCGAAGGCGGCUCACUGGCCCGGUACUGACGCUGAGGUGCGAAAGCGUGGGGAGCAAACAGG